AUUUAUAUCAGCUAAGAGAAGCUUUCUCUUUUACUCUGUUUCAAACAAAUCAGCACAAUUUAUUCUCACAAGAAAAACGCAGAUGGAGGACCUUAUUCACCAAAUUCCCUCUUUCAAGAACAGAACUUGAAUUUACAAAGUUUUUGUUGCUGCAUACUUUCACACCACAAGAAGUUUGGUUUUAAAGGACUCUCCCUCAACAAAUCAUUAUCACAAGGCUUUGUGACCAGGGGGAUUAGCGCUGCUUUCCCAAGACAGGUUUAUAUGUGAUUAUGAUCUUCAGGCUUUGCCUAACCAGGUUGGCUGGCCGGUGCUGACGGGACGGAGCUGAGGCUAGCGAUAAAUUCCUAUGUUAGACUUCCGCUGUAGCAAUUACUCAUAUCAGUCUUUUGUUUUCCCAACUUAAGAUCUUCAUGUUAAAUUUCAAAUGAUAUACCUGACAGAGCUUAGACUCUUCACUACUAAAUUUAUGCUAAUGAAUGUCGGUUGUCAGAAGCAUGAAACAAAACUUGUGAUCCAAAGGGGCAUAGCCCGACUUUCUAUCCUAUUUCGGGUUUUUACAAGGUUGUUCCUUGUUUAUUUCUAUGAAUUAGUUGCACCUCGAUUAUAUUUAUUCAUUCAAGAAUUGGGGUGUGACAGAAUGGUAUCAGAGCAUGAGUUUUCUUUCAUGACUCUGAUAACCAUAAGCUUUUGAUGUCGAGUCUAGAAUAGUAUCUCUAGACUUCUAAGAAUGUCAGUAGCCCUCAGCUCACCGUCACACUGCCGCAACCAAGGUACGAUAAUAGUUUCAAAAAUAUACAUAUAUGUAUUUCAGAUGUUAUGAAAGUUUUCAAGAAAAGGUGCGCCUUAUGUUUACGAUGCUAUGUGAAUGCUUUUUGUCGUGUUUGGGACUACCCGAACCCAUAACGACUCAAUGAAUGUAUUUCGUGUUUGGGACAACCCGAGCCCUUAACGAAUCAAUGUAUGUAUGUAUGUAUGGUCGAGUUAGAUUCCUUGAAUCUUUCCGGCAUAAGCAAAGUUUUUCAUGAAAGGGACAUUUAAUGUCCAUAUGACUCAAAAUUUCAAAGAAAGCAAAUAUAUGUAUGUAUGUAUGUAUGAAUGAAUGAUGAGAAAGCUUUAUGUUA
Salvia miltiorrhiza (redroot sage) is the source of this 1124-nucleotide long non-coding RNA. RefSeq lists it as uncharacterized. The record is from RefSeq and is a predicted model, not a curated record. The transcript is spliced from 3 exons. NCBI's taxonomy places the organism in Eukaryota, Viridiplantae, Streptophyta, Magnoliopsida, Lamiales, Lamiaceae.